AGAGUUUGAUCCUGGCUCAGGACGAACGCUGGCGGCGUGCUUAACACAUGCAAGUCGAACGAGACGAUUGAAAGCUUGCUUUUGAAAGUCGAGUGGCAAACGGGUGAGUAACGCGUAGACAACCUGCCGUAAAGAUGGGGACAACAGUCCGAAAGGACUGCUAAUACCGAAUGUUGUAAAUCUUCCACAUGGAAGACUUACUAAAGGUGGCCUCUACUUGUAAGCUAUCGCUUUACGAUGGGUCUGCGUCUGAUUAGCUGGUUGGUGGGGUAACGGCCUACCAAGGCGACGAUCAGUAGCCGGUCUGAGAGGAUGAACGGCCACAUUGGAACUGAGACACGGUCCAGACUCCUACGGGAGGCAGCAGUGGGGAAUCUUCCGCAAUGAGCGCAAGCCUGACGGAGCAACGCCGCGUGAGUGAAGAAGGGUUUCGACUCGUAAAGCUCUGUUGUCGGGGACGAACGUGGAGACGGCGAAUAGCCGUUUCCAAUGACGGUACCUGACGAGGAAGCCACGGCUAACUACGUGCCAGCAGCCGCGGUAAUACGUAGGUGGCGAGCGUUGUCCGGAAUUAUUGGGCGUAAAGGGAGCGCAGGCGGGAAGGUAAGUCUAUCUUAAAAGUGCGGGGCUCAACCCCGUGAGGGGAUGGAAACUAUCUUUCUUGAGUGCAGGAGAGGAAAGCGGAAUUCCUAGUGUAGCGGUGAAAUGCGUAGAUAUAUGGAGGAACACCGGUGGCGAAAGCGGCUCUCUGGUCUGUAACUGACGCUGAGGCUCGAAAGCGUGGGGAGCAAACAGGAUUAGAUACCCUGGUAGUCCACGCCGUAAACGAUGAGUGCUAGGUGUUGGGUCCUUUCCGGGACUCAGUGCCGCAGCUAACGCAUUAAGCACUCCGCCUGGGGAGUACGACCGCAAGGUUGAAACUCAAAGGAAUUGACGGGGGCCCGCACAAGCGGUGGAGCAUGUGGUUUAAUUCGAAGCAACGCGAAGAACCUUACCAGGUCUUGACAUCCCUCUGACCGCUCUAGAGAUAGAGUUUUCCUUCGGGACAGAGGUGACAGGUGGUGCAUGGUUGUCGUCAGCUCGUGUCGUGAGAUGUUGGGUUAAGCCCCGCAACGAGCGCAACCCCUAUUGUUAGUUGCCAUCAUUGAGUUGGGCACUCUAGCGAGACUGCCGGUAAUAAACCGGAGGAAGGUGGGGAUGACGUCAAAUCAUCAUGCCCCUUAUGACCUGGGCUACACACGUGCUACAAUGGCUGGUACAACGAGUCGCGAGUCGGUGACGGCGAGCUAAUCUCUUAAAGCCAGUCUCAGUUCGGAUUGUAGGCUGCAACUCGCCUACAUGAAGUCGGAAUCGCUAGUAAUCGCGGAUCAGCACGCCGCGGUGAAUACGUUCCCGGGCCUUGUACACACCGCCCGUCACACCACGAGAGUUUGUAACACCCGAAGUCGGUGAGGUAACCGUAAGGAGCCAGCCGCCUAAGGUGGGAUAGAUGAUUGGGGUGAAGUCGUAACAAGGUA
RNAcentral lists this ribosomal RNA (1517 nucleotides) under metagenome. RNAcentral describes it as "bacterial SSU rRNA". It matches the Rfam family "Bacterial small subunit ribosomal RNA". The record is from RNAcentral.